Non-coding RNA from Escherichia coli P0305260.13, 50 nucleotides. The record is from Rfam. Lineage: Bacteria; Pseudomonadati; Pseudomonadota; Gammaproteobacteria; Enterobacterales; Enterobacteriaceae.
ACAAAAUUGGCCGCUUCGGUCAUGGCCGAGUAUUGCCUGAAAAAGGGUAA